This 244-nucleotide unclassified non-coding RNA is filed under the name air metagenome. Its description in RNAcentral is "partial contains small subunit ribosomal RNA, internal transcribed spacer 1, and 5.8S ribosomal RNA". The stretch from base 1 to 46 matches the Rfam family "Eukaryotic small subunit ribosomal RNA", at positions 1786 to 1831 of the family's 1831-position model. The record is from RNAcentral.
AAGUCGUAACAAGGUUUCCGUAGGUGAACCUGCGGAAGGAUCAUUAUUGAAUUCGAGGGUUGUGCUGGUUCUUACAAGUGCACGCUCUCUUCAAUUUCUAUACACCUGUGCACCUUUGUAGGUUCUGGAGAGCAAUCUCUGGUUCCUAUGUUUUUAUAUACCCUAUUUCAGUUUUAAGAAUGUUUAUUUUGUCUUUUGACGAAAAAAAUCUAUACAACUUUAAGCAACGGAUCUCUUGGCUCUC